UACGUAGGGCGCAAGCGUUGUCCGGAUUUAUUGGGCGUAAAGAGCUCGUAGGCGGUCCGUCACGUCGGCUGUGAAAACCCGAGGCUCAACCUCGGGCCUGCAGUCGAUACGGGCAGACUAGAGUGCGGUAGGGGAGACUGGAAUUCCUGGUGUAGCGGUGAAAUGCGCAGAUAUCAGGAGGAACACCGGUGGCGAAGGCGGGUCUCUGGGCCGUAACUGACGCUGAGGAGCGAAAGCGUGGGAAGCGAACAGG
Molecule: ribosomal RNA, 253 nt
Filed under: uncultured bacterium
Lineage: Bacteria
Description: partial 16S ribosomal RNA
Rfam family: Bacterial small subunit ribosomal RNA
Source: RNAcentral